UACGGAGGAUCCGAGCGUUAUCCGGAUUUAUUGGGUUUAAAGGGUGCGUAGGUGGAAAUAUAAGUCAGCCUGUGAAAGUUUGCGGCUCAACCGUAAAAUUGCAGUUGAUACUGUAUUUCUUGAGUGUACAUAAGGUAGGCGGAAUUCGUGGUGUAGCGGUGAAAUGCUUAGAUAUCACGAAGAACUCCGAUUGCGAAGGCAGCUUACCGGGGUACAACUGACGCUGAUGCACGAAAGUGUGGGUAUCAAACAGG
This 254-nucleotide ribosomal RNA is filed under the name uncultured bacterium. RNAcentral describes it as "partial 16S ribosomal RNA". It matches the Rfam family "Bacterial small subunit ribosomal RNA", at positions 524 to 776 of the family's 1533-position model. The record is from RNAcentral.